CUUCAUUUUAACGAGCCCACAAGCGGCUCACCUUCAAGCUCGGCUCGCGCUCGGGCUUGUGAUUUUAGAGCCCGACCACCCACGAGCCUUAUUUUGACGAGUCGAUCCGACUCGACCCUUUUGACAUCUCAUAUGUACCCUCUGUCUACAGCAAUGAUAUAUUCCCCUAUUCUUUUCUGCCAUCAAACUUAUCUAAUACAACCACAUCAACAUGUAACCAUAUUAGUAUCACAAAUUCUUAAGAAUGCUGCUUCAGUUCAAAUAAGUACCUAGUGCGACCAUCAAGCUAUGUUGGAAAGACUAAGCAAAUUUUAAAUAUACAACUAAUGCUUCCAUUACAAUUACGGGAAUCAACUCUAUGGUUUAGGAUCCACAGCUGUCCAAACCAAAACAAUUUAACAAAAUUUACAAAAAAUUUCUGAAGCUGCCAAAUCCAAACGCAGAUAUAUUAAUCGAUGUUUGCAAACAAUUUCAGAGAAAAUGAUGUGAACAAAAUCAAGACUGAGUUGCUGGGAUUUAGUUUGGGAGUGGCAGGAGAACCUUGCCCAGGAAGUAUUUGAACUUGAAGACAAAUUAAUUUAGGAAUCAUGAGGAAUCGCAACAGCAAUGAGUGGAUCUUUUCUUCCAAUUAUGAGACCUCAUUGUUCGGCGAUAUCCAUGUUCUCCCAUUUUGCUCCAUCGGGUUGUUCCCAAUCAAAUUUGUGCAAAACAUUUGCUAACACAAAUUCAACUAACCCCGAUGCAAAACUAAUCCCUCGGCAGAUUCUCCAAUCACUCUCAAAAACUCACACAUACAUCGAACAAAAAACUCACAUAUACAUUGAGAGGUUGGGGGAAAAAAUUUAAAACCAAAAAACCACAACUCACAUAGUUGCUGCCCUUUUUUCUCUCACCGACCACGAUUGACUUCUCUUACAGUUCAGGCGGCGAUCGGAGGUGGUGAUUAUUUGGGUUGUGCCUAGAAUUAUAGUGGUCUCUACUUUAUUUUUUGUAAAUGGGAGAGUGAUUCAAUUUGGAGAAGAAAUAGGGCUUUAGUCGGGUCACCAACUGCAAAACAGGCUAUUUUG
RNAcentral lists this long non-coding RNA (1067 nucleotides) under Olea europaea subsp. europaea. Lineage: Eukaryota; Viridiplantae; Streptophyta; Magnoliopsida; Lamiales; Oleaceae. The record is from RNAcentral.